Molecule: transfer RNA, 89 nt
Filed under: Xanthobacter flavus
Lineage: Bacteria; Pseudomonadati; Pseudomonadota; Alphaproteobacteria; Hyphomicrobiales; Xanthobacteraceae
Description: tRNA-Val
Source: RNAcentral
GUCGGAGAUGGAAGAGGAGUUCGCGGCCGUCACCGUGCCGCCGUCGCGGAAGGCGGGCUUCAGCGUCGGGAUCUUGUCCAGCUUCGCCU